This 124-nucleotide non-coding RNA is filed under the name Chaetura pelagica (chimney swift). The record is from RNAcentral. Lineage: Eukaryota; Metazoa; Chordata; Aves; Apodiformes; Apodidae.
GUGAUGAAAGGAGAUAAGGUUAGCACUCCCCUUGAUAAGGAUGGAAGAGGCUUCAGUGGCCUAUACAACACGCAUAUGGUUAAGGCAUUGCCAUCUACUUUGUGGCAUCUAACCAUCAACAACC